This is a non-coding RNA of Callorhinus ursinus (northern fur seal), 610 nucleotides long. The record is from RefSeq and is a predicted model, not a curated record. Lineage: Eukaryota; Metazoa; Chordata; Mammalia; Carnivora; Otariidae.
UGGUACAGGUACACUCCCAUGUGGUAUAGAUACACUCACGGGUGUGGUAUACACUCAGGUGUGUGGUACAGGUACACUCUGGAGUGGUAUAGAUACACUCAGGUGUGUGAUACAGGUACACCCAGGUGUGUGGUACAGGUACACUCUGAGGUGGUGUAGAUACACUCAGGGGUGUGGUACAGAUACACUCUGGUGUGAUGUAGAUACACUCAGGUGUGGUAUAGAUACACUCAGGUGUGUGGUACAGGUACACUCGUGUGGUGUAGAUAUACUCAGGUGUGGUAUAGAUACACUCAGGUGUGUGGUACAGGUACACUGGCGUGGUGUAGAUAAACUCAGGUGUGGUAUAGUUAUACUCAGGUGUGUGGUACAGGUACACUCAGGUGUGGUAUAGAUACACUCAGGUGUGCAGUACAGGUACACUCAGAUGUGUGGCACCAACCCUCGCAGUGAGAGCCAAGGGUUUGGUCAGUGGAGGCUCAGUUUGGGAGAUGGUGGUCAGUGGGGGACUUGGGCGGCCAGUCGGGGCUGUGGUGUCUUGCAGGGGUGGGUACAUGGCUAUGCUUCUUGAAGGCCCAAAAGGCUGGUGGGCUUAAGAGGUUGGGGGGUC